Molecule: non-coding RNA, 1136 nt
Organism: Maylandia zebra (zebra mbuna)
Lineage: Eukaryota; Metazoa; Chordata; Actinopteri; Cichliformes; Cichlidae
Source: RefSeq, a predicted model, not a curated record
AAUGGGGGGGCAGCAUAAGGAGUUCCAUUACUAAGGUGCUGCCGGACCUGUCUGCCUCAAUCCUUGAAAUUGUACUGGAGGCACUACAAUCAUUAGGAGUGGAGACAUCUGAGAAACAAACCACACCAAAUAUGGAAAUUUCAAGCCAGGCCAGCAUAUCGUCUCCAUCUGUUUUAAGGUUUAAGGGUGGUGGCACAGCUAAGACCCAAGAGUCUCUUUCAAGACACUGAAUUUGAGCAGAAACCAUAAGGAUACUCAAAGGACCUGUGACUCUCAGGAAAUGCAUCAAAUGAGAGAGACAGAUGAAACAGUUUCAAGACAAUGGCAGGAAAAAAAUGCUGAAGAUUGAAACAAACCUUGGCUGGAAAUAUUUGAAGGUAUCUAGCCAGUCCACAAUGAACGCUUCGUUGCACCCCAUGAGUCUUCUGGCAGAAAUGAUGGCGGCUGUAUUCUUUGGUUUCCCUAAACAUCACACCCUGCCUGUUUAUACGAGGCUCUUCAAUUAAGUCUGCACCCAAAGAUUCAAUAAGAGAGGGGAUCCUGCCAGUCCAAAGUGAACUCCUGAUGGACAUUGAAGUACUCCUGCAGAGCUUGUAUCUUCAACACCAUGCGCAUUAGAAACUCCACCGAGUCCUUUCCUUCACCAAGGCAGGACCCAGUGACUCAUUACUGUUGAUAGGUCAGGGGCAGGUAAUAUUUUGUUUCAUGUUUAGUCAUUCCUCCAUGGAUUACCAGCCAUAUAUAUGGACACAUGCUGUAUUCUCAAGAUCUAUGCUGUUUUGUAGGAAUAGAGAAAAUGAUAUGUUUAGUCUGUUUUCAAAUGGUAUGUCAAAUUUUCUCAUUGUUUAUCAGUAAUAUUCUCUACCUUGGUUGUAUAUGAGCAUCUUUAGAUUUUUCUAUAUUUAGCGGUUGCAAAUGUAAAAUGUACGGUAAACCAUUUAUGUUCCUCAUAUUGUACUGUAUUUUUAGCGGUAAAAUACCGGCAGCUGUGGUUGCCAGGAAUUUACCGUAAAAUGUAUCUGGUCAAAAUAAAAUGCUGUAAUUUGUUAUACAAUUUCACUGUGUUUUUUACUGUCAAAGGUUUUAAUAAGGUUUAACAUAUUUCUGUUAUUUUUACAGUUAUUUACAAUAAUAGG